UACGUAGGGGGCUAGCGUUAUCCGGAAUUACUGGGCGUAAAGGGUGCGUAGGUGGUUUCUUAAGUCAGAGGUGAAAGGCUACGGCUCAACCGUAGUAAGCCUUUGAAACUGGGAAACUUGAGUGCAGAAGAGGAGAGUGGAAUUCCAUGUGUAGCGGUGAAAUGCGUAGAUAUAUGGAGGAACACCAGUGGCGAAGGCGACUCUCUGGUCUGUAACUGACGCUGAGGCUCGAAAGCGUGGGGAGCAAACAGGAUUAGAUACCCUGGUAGUCCCU
Molecule: ribosomal RNA, 274 nt
Filed under: uncultured prokaryote
Description: partial 16S ribosomal RNA
Rfam family: Bacterial small subunit ribosomal RNA
Source: RNAcentral